AAACAUCCAAUAAGCGAAUAUGUGAAAGGUUUGUAUGAUGUAAAUA
This 46-nucleotide non-coding RNA is filed under the name Trypanosoma brucei brucei. The record is from RNAcentral. Lineage: Eukaryota; Euglenozoa; Kinetoplastea; Trypanosomatida; Trypanosomatidae.